CCCCUCUCAGGGUCACAACUGGAGAGUUUCCAGUCCUCUGCCAGCCUUGGCUAAGAGAGGGAGAGUCAGGCAGAGGGCUACCAGUUCCAUUCCUAGCUUAGUCAGUGGCUAGAGAGUGGAAGGCAAUCUGCUACAAAC
This is a small nucleolar RNA of Tachyglossus aculeatus (Australian echidna), 138 nucleotides long. The record is from RefSeq and is a predicted model, not a curated record. Lineage: Eukaryota; Metazoa; Chordata; Mammalia; Monotremata; Tachyglossidae.